AUUGAACGCUGGCGGAAUGCUUUACACAUGCAAGUCGAACGGUAGAGGGGGCAACCCCUCGAGAGUGGCGAACGGGUGAGUAAUAUAUCGGAACGUGCCCAGUCGUGGGGGAUAACGUAGCGAAAGUUACGCUAAUACCGCAUACGAUCUAAGGAUGAAAGCGGGGGAUCGCAAGACCUCGCGCGAUUGGAGCGGCCGAUAUCAGAUUAGGUAGUUGGUGGGGUAAAGGCUCACCAAGCCAACGAUCUGUAGCUGGCCUGAGAGGACGACCAGCCACACUGGAACUGAGACACGGUCCAGACUCCUACGGGAGGCAGCAGUGGGGAAUUUUGGACAAUGGACGCAAGUCUGAUCCAGCCAUUCCGCGUGCAGGAUGAAGGCCCCCGGGUUGUAAACUGCUUUUGUACGGAACGAAAAGGUCUCUCUUAAUACGGGGGGCUCAUGACGGUACCGUAAGAAUAAGCACCGGCUAACUACGUGCCAGCCGCCGCGGUAA
This 496-nucleotide ribosomal RNA is filed under the name uncultured bacterium. RNAcentral describes it as "partial 16S ribosomal RNA". It matches the Rfam family "Bacterial small subunit ribosomal RNA", at positions 30 to 523 of the family's 1533-position model. The record is from RNAcentral.